GAGUUUGAUCCUGGCUCAGAUUGAACGCUGGCGGCAGGCCUAACACAUGCAAGUCGAACGGUAACAGGAAGAAGCUUGCUUCUUUGCUGACGAGUGGCGGACGGGUGAGUAAUGUCUGGGAAACUGCCUGAUGGAGGGGGAUAACUACUGGAAACGGUAGCUAAUACCGCAUAACGUCGCAAGACCAAAGAGGGGGACCUUCGGGCCUCUUGCCAUCGGAUGUGCCCAGAUGGGAUUAGCUUGUUGGUGGGGUAACGGCUCACCAAGGCGACGAUCUCUAGCUGGUCUGAGAGGAUGACCAGCCACACUGGAACUGAGACACGGUCCAGACUCCUACGGGAGGCAGCAGUGGGGAAUAUUGCACAAUGGGCGCAAGCCUGAUGCAGCCAUGCCGCGUGUAUGAAGAAGGCCUUCGGGUUGUAAAGUACUUUCAGCGGGGAGGAAGGGAGUAAAGUUAAUACCUUUGCUCAUUGACGUUACCCGCAGAAGAAGCACCGGCUAACUCCGUGCCAGCAGC
This 517-nucleotide ribosomal RNA is filed under the name uncultured bacterium. RNAcentral's name for it is "bacterial SSU rRNA". It matches the Rfam family "Bacterial small subunit ribosomal RNA", at positions 9 to 515 of the family's 1533-position model. The record is from RNAcentral.